UGUAACACAGAGUAGGAUAUUUUACAGGACACCAAGGCAUCCACUGAUUUAUUUAAAACAAAUAAUCAUUCACGCAGCACAAGCAGUUACUGGAUUAAAGGAUCGGCAUCCUGCUAAUCCCCAGGAGCUGCAGCACUGGGGACGUCAGCUAUCAGCCCAUCUGCUGGAUCGCACCCCCUUCAAGGGUGAUGGACUGAACUGCAAAACCAGCCUGUGAUCGAGCACGUCAUUCCUGGAGGAAAGACAUGAGAGGAUGCAGGGAGGCAGAUUGGUUGGACGGUGUUGCUGAACUCUAGAGGCUCACUAAGCUUUAGCAGAGCAAUGUCGUAGUCAGAGGUCACUUGAUCAUAAGAUGGGUGGAGGAUGAUUCUCUUCACUUUACGCAUCUGAGCUUUCUCUGGCUCAUACUGAGACUGCAAUCCACUGAUUGUUCACAACUUUAUCCUUCAACUUUCUGCGGUGGUCCUUUUUUGUAGUUGUUGUGGCUCAAAGCAGUAUUUUAAACUGGACCUGCUGUCCUUUUUAGGAACAUGUCCAAGGAAGGAGACUCCGAGUGUUAGGUUCUCAGAACUGGGUGAAGUUGCAGUUUACCUCUCACAGGGUGGCAGGCUAAUUGAUUUACGGUAGCUUCCAUUACCUCAGUCAGUGGUGACCUUUAAGAAGGAGCAGGCUCCCUCAGGCAGAUGGUUAUUGUAUCCAGAGCACUUCAGGAUCCACUCUGGCUAAGACUUUCAUUGUAUCUAUCCCCUGUAGGCUUAUGUCCUGCUCCUUCCACAGCUAACCUACACAGCACACAAGUAUCUGUACUUUCUAUUCCUUACAUUUUUAAAACAAACGUCACUCGUUACUCUUGGCUUCAGUUUAAUGUUUAUAAAUAUUUAUUUCACGUCAUGUGCGCCAUCUAAUGCAGAUCAUUGUCUCCAUCCACAUCUAGUGAAAACUAGUGUAAUUGGAUGAGUUGUAUAACACAAACACUCAUUGGUUAGCUAAAGGAAAUCAUCAGAAGCAAGCAGGUGUUCUUGAAACUGCAAACGCGAAUAGUCUAUGCCAUGCUACAAUGAACGGAUUCAGAAAAAGAUUUUGAAAUGUCUGAAAGGUCGGACACAGGCGAGAACGUAUCGGGAGACGGAGACCAACAAGACCUCCCUCU
This is a long non-coding RNA of Cyprinodon variegatus (sheepshead minnow), 1150 nucleotides long. RefSeq lists it as uncharacterized. The record is from RefSeq and is a predicted model, not a curated record. NCBI's taxonomy places the organism in Eukaryota, Metazoa, Chordata, Actinopteri, Cyprinodontiformes, Cyprinodontidae. The transcript is spliced from 4 exons.